UGCUAGCGGCGGACGGGUGAGUAACACGUGGAUAACCUACCUAUAAGACUGGGAUAACUUCGGGAAACCGGAGCUAAUACCGGGUAAUAUUUUGAACCGCAUGGUUCAAAAGUGAAACGACGGUCUUGCUGUCACUUAUAGAUGGAUCCGCGCUGCAUUAGCUAGUUGGUAACGGUAACGGCUUACCAAGGCAACGAUGCAUAGCCGACCUGAGAGGGUGAUCGGCCACACUGGAACUGAGACACGGUCCAGACUCCUACGGGAGGCAGCAGUAGGGAAUCUUCCGCAAUGGGCGAAAGCCUGACGGAGCAACGCCGCGUGAGUGAUGAAGGUCUUCGGAUCGUAAAACUCUGGUAGUAGGGAAGAACAUAUGUGUAAGUAACUUGUGCACAUCUUGACGGUACCUAAUCAGAAAGCCAAGGAUAACUACGUGCCAGCAGCCGCGGUAAUACGUAGGUGGCAAGCGUUAUCCGGAAUUAUUGGGCGUAAAGCGCGCGUAGGCGGUUUUUUAAGUCUGAUGUGAAAGCCCACGGCUCAACCGUGGAGGGUCAUUGGAAACUGGAUAACUUGAGUCAGAAGAGCGCAAAGUGGAAUUCCAUGUGUAGCUGGUGAAAUGCGCAGAGAUAUGGAGGAACACCAGUUGGCGAAGGCGACUGUUGCUGGGUGCUGUAACUGACGCUGAUGUGCGAAAGCGUGGGGGAUCAAACAGGAUUAGAUACCACUGGUAGUCCACGCCGUAAACGAUGCCCCCUAUAGUGUUAGGGGGUUUCCGCCCCUUAGUGC
RNAcentral lists this ribosomal RNA (783 nucleotides) under uncultured Staphylococcus sp. Its description in RNAcentral is "bacterial SSU rRNA". It matches the Rfam family "Bacterial small subunit ribosomal RNA", at positions 90 to 846 of the family's 1533-position model. The record is from RNAcentral. Lineage: Bacteria; Bacillati; Bacillota; Bacilli; Caryophanales; Staphylococcaceae.